RNAcentral lists this non-coding RNA (148 nucleotides) under Homo sapiens (human). Lineage: Eukaryota; Metazoa; Chordata; Mammalia; Primates; Hominidae. The record is from Rfam by way of RNAcentral.
GCCGGGCGUGGUGGUGGGCACCUGUAAUCCCAGCUACUCUGGAGGCUGAGGCAGAAGAAUUGCUUGAACCCAGGAGGCAGAGGUUGCAGUGAGCCAAGAUUGCACCAUUGCACUCCAGCCUGGGUGACAGAGCAAGAUUCUGUCUCAA